GGCGGCGUGCCUAACACAUGCAAGUCGUGCGGGAAAGUGGGGGUAACUCCAUGAGUAGAGCGGCGCACGGGUGAGUAACACGUAGGUAACCUGCCCUCAAGACUGGGAUAACCUGUCGAAAGAUGAGCUAAUACCAGAUAAGACCACCGGGGCCGCGGUUCUGGUGGAAAAAGGUGGCCUCUGCUUGCACGCUACUACUUGAGGAUGGGCCUGCGCGCCAUUAGCUAGUUGGCGGGGUAAAAGCCCACCAAGGCGAAGAUGGCUAGCUGGUCUGAGAGGAUGGCCAGCCACACUGGGACUGAGACACGGCCCAGACUCCUACGGGAGGCAGCAGUGGGGAAUAUUGCGCAAUGGGCGAAAGCCUGACGCAGCGACGCCGCGUGGGUGAUGAANGCCUUCGGGUCGUAAAGCCCUGUCGGGAGGGACGAAACCUCGGCGACCUAACACGUCGUCGACCUGACGGUACCUCUUAAGGAAGCACCGGCUAACUCCGUGCCAGCAGCCGCGGUAAUACGGA
This 517-nucleotide ribosomal RNA is filed under the name uncultured bacterium. RNAcentral's name for it is "bacterial SSU rRNA". It matches the Rfam family "Bacterial small subunit ribosomal RNA", at positions 38 to 529 of the family's 1533-position model. The record is from RNAcentral.